GAUGAACGCUGGCGGCGUGCCUAAUACAUGCAAGUCGAGCGAACGGACGAGAAGCUUGCUUCUCUGAUGUUAGCGGCGGACGGGUGAGUAACACGUGGAUAACCUACCUAUAAGACUGGGAUAACUUCGGGAAACCGGAGCUAAUACCGGAUAAUAUUUUGAACCGCAUGGUUCAAAAGUGAAAGACGGUCUUGCUGUCACUUAUAGAUGGAUCCGCGCUGCAUUAGCUAGUUGGUAAGGUAACGGCUUACCAAGGCAACGAUGCAUAGCCGACCUGAGAGGGUGAUCGGCCAAACUGGAACUGGGACACGGUCCAGACCCCCAGGGGGGGCAGCAGUAGGGAAUUUUCCGCAAUGGGCGAAAGCCUGACGGAGCAACGCCGGGUGAGUGAUGAAGGUCUUCGGAUCGUAAAACUUUUUUAUUAGGGAAAAAAAUAUGUGAAAGUAAAUGUGCAAAUUUUGACGGUACCUAAUCAAAAAGCCACGGCUAACUACGU
Molecule: ribosomal RNA, 496 nt
Filed under: uncultured bacterium
Lineage: Bacteria
Description: partial 16S ribosomal RNA
Rfam family: Bacterial small subunit ribosomal RNA
Source: RNAcentral